This 468-nucleotide ribosomal RNA is filed under the name uncultured bacterium. RNAcentral's name for it is "partial 16S ribosomal RNA". It matches the Rfam family "Bacterial small subunit ribosomal RNA", at positions 28 to 507 of the family's 1533-position model. The record is from RNAcentral.
GACGAACGCUGGCGGCGUGCUUAACACAUGCAAGUCGAACGGAAAGGCCCUGCUUUUGUGGGGUGCUCGAGUGGCGAACGGGUGAGUAACACGUGAGUAACCUGCCCUUGACUUUGGGAUAACUUCAGGAAACUUGGGCUAAUACCGGAUAGGAGCUCCUGCUGCAUGGUGGGGGUUGGAAAGUUUCGGCGGUUGGGGAUGGACUCGCGGCUUAUCAGCUUGUUGGUGGGGUAGUGGCUUACCAAGGCUUUGACGGGUAGCCGGCCUGAGAGGGUGACCGGCCACAUUGGGACUGGGAUACGGCCCAGACUCCUACGGGAGGCAGCAGUGGGGAAUAUUGCACAAUGGGCGGAAGCCUGAUGCAGCAACGCCGCGUGCGGGAUGACGGCCUUCGGGUUGUAAACCGCUUUCGCCUGUGACGAAGCGUGAGUGACGGUAAUGGGUAAAGAAGCACCGGCUAACUACGUG